This 279-nucleotide ribosomal RNA is filed under the name uncultured bacterium. Its description in RNAcentral is "partial 16S ribosomal RNA". It matches the Rfam family "Bacterial small subunit ribosomal RNA", at positions 506 to 784 of the family's 1533-position model. The record is from RNAcentral.
UGCCAGCAGCCGCGGUAAUACAGAGGGUGCGAACGUUGCUCGGAUUUACUGGGCGUAAAGCGCGUGUAGGCGGACUCGCAAGUCGGUUGUGAAAUCCCUGGGCUCAACCUAGGAACUGCAUCCGAAACUGCUUGUCUUGAGUAAUGGAGAGGGUGGCGGAAUUCCCGGUGUAGAGGUGAAAUUCGUAGAUAUCGGGAGGAAUACCGGUGGCGAAGGCGGCCACCUGGCCAGAUACUGACGCUGAGGUGCGAAAGCGUGGGGAGCAAACAGGAUUAGAUA